Molecule: ribosomal RNA, 119 nt
Filed under: Amphiprion ocellaris (clown anemonefish)
Lineage: Eukaryota; Metazoa; Chordata; Actinopteri; Pomacentridae
Source: RNAcentral
GCUUACGGCCAUACCAGCCUGAAUACGCCCGAUCUCGUCUGAUCUCGGAAGCUAAGCAGGGUCGGGCCUGGUUAGUACUUGGAUGGGAGACCGCGUGGGAAUACCAGGUGCUGUAAGCU